RNAcentral lists this transfer RNA (75 nucleotides) under Mycobacterium botniense. Its description in RNAcentral is "tRNA-Val". It matches the Rfam family "tRNA". From Rfam's summary of the family: Transfer RNA (tRNA) molecules are approximately 80 nucleotides in length. The record is from RNAcentral. Lineage: Bacteria; Bacillati; Actinomycetota; Actinomycetes; Mycobacteriales; Mycobacteriaceae.
GGGCGCGUAGCUCAGUGGCAGAGCUCUGGUUUUACACACCAGCGGUCGGCGGUUCGAUCCCGUCCGCGCCCACCA